Oncorhynchus keta (chum salmon) is the source of this 1033-nucleotide long non-coding RNA. RefSeq lists it as uncharacterized. The transcript is spliced from 4 exons. The record is from RefSeq and is a predicted model, not a curated record. NCBI's taxonomy places the organism in Eukaryota, Metazoa, Chordata, Actinopteri, Salmoniformes, Salmonidae.
CUGAUAUGCACAUUUACAACACGCACCGUUCAUGUCUCAACACUCGAUGGCAACUAAUGCAAUUAUAUACCCUGGUAAACAAAUGACAGUUUAGAACCUCCCCCUCUUCUAGAAAACAUCCCUCUGGUUUCAGUAAAGAGGUUUAAAUGACAGUUUAAAACCUCCCCAUCUUCUAGAAAACAUCCCUCUGGUUUCAGUAAAGAGGUUUAAAUGACAGUUAAAAACCUCCCCAUCUUCUAGAAAACAUCCCUCUUGUUGUUUCAGUAAAGAGGUUUAAAUGACAGUUAAAACCUCCCCCUCUUGUUGUUUCAGUAAAGAGGUUUAAAUGACAGUUUAAAACCUCCCCAUCUUCUAGAAAACAUCCCGCUUGUUUCAGUAAAGAGGUUUAAAUGACAGUUAAAACCUCCUCAUCUUGUUGUUUCAGUAAAGAGGUUUAAAUGACAGUUAAAACCUCCCCAUCUUCUAGAAAACAUCCCUCUUGUUGUUUCAGUAAAGAGGUUUAAAUGACAGUUAAAACCUCCCCAUCUUCUAGAAAACAUCCCUCUUGUUGUUUCAGUAAAGAGGUUUAAAUGACAGUUAAAACCUCCCCCUCUUGUUGUUUCAGUAAAGAGGUUUAAAUGACAGUUAAAACCUCCCCCUCUUGUUGUUUCAGUAAAGAGGUUUAAAUGACAGUUAAAACCUCCCCCUCUUGUUGUUUCAGUAAAGAGGUUUAAAUGACAGUUAAAACCUCCCCAUCUUCUAUAAAACAUCCCUCUUGUUGUUUCAGUAAAGAGGUUUAAAUGACAGUUAAAACCUCCCCAUUUCUAUACCAGACAAGGUGUGUUAUGUCUCCACAGUACAGUAGGCAGCAGCAUCAUCAGUCUCAGGGCAGUGUGAUGUGACCCAGACAGAAACACUGUAGUCUCUCUCUCCACUCAGCUCUCCUCUCCUGUCAUCAAAUGGCCACAGCCAAUCCAAGGUCUCAGGGCAAGCACAACAAUAGAUCCACAGUCUAAACUGGCAUUCCACAGUUUCUAGCCAAUAGAAACACAGU